UAAUAUUUAAUUUGAUUUUAUAUUUAUUCUUUGUAAAAAAGUAUUUUUUUAACCCGAUCCUUUCGUACUAGGGUGAAAUAUUAAAAAUUGAGGAUAGAAACUGACCUGGCUCACGCCGGUCUGAACUCAGAUCAUGUAGAAUUUUAAUGGUCGAACAGACCAACCCUUAAAGACUUCUGCAUCUUUAGGAUAUUCUAGUCCAACAUCGAGGUCACAACCCCCCCUUUCGAUUUGGUCUCUCAAGGGAGAUUAUGCUGUUAUCCCUGCGGUAACUAGUUUUUUUAAUCAGCUUUGCUGGAUCAAAACGUAUAGGUUUUAAAUUGAUUUAUAAAGGAAGCUCUUUUUGUUCCUUGGUCGCCCCAACCAAAAAAGAUUAACAGUUAUAUAUUUGCUAUAAAACAUAAGUGUUUCUGUUUGUUUUUCAAGCUCGACAGGGUCUUCUUGUCCUUCAAUAAGAUCCAGGCCUCUUCACCUGGAAGUCAAGUUCUAAAAAAUAAAAAGGAGACAGUGUUGCUCUCGUCAGACCAUUCAUACUAGCCUUCAAUUAUAAGGCAAAUGAUUAUGCUACCUUUGCACGGUCAGAGUACCGCGGCCGUUAAAAAAUUCACUGGGCAGGUUCGACUCUUUAUUUUAUCUGUUUACAAAGAGCGAUGUUUUUGAUAAACAGGCGGAGCAACUUAUUUUGCCGAGUUCCUUCUUUUUAAUUUGUAUGUGAUUAAUGCAUUGUUGUUCAGGGAAAUAUAAUAUAUAGGGAAUUCCGAGGCUUGCAGAAUUAAUACUCAUCCUAGCAUUAGCUGAGAAAUGUGUUUAGUUUUAUUUCUUACCCCUAUUUCUUUUAGGCGGAAAGUAUAUGAAUAUUUUUAGUUUUUUAAAAUACUCUGUAACAAGUUUUUUGUCAAUGGCUAACUUCAAGCCUAUGGUAUAAAUGAAGAUUUGUACUCGUCACUAUUUGAAUCUUUAAGCUUAUCCUUAAAGAUCUUAAAAAUGGCUUAUAUCAACCCGAAAAAGAUUUUAGGGAUUUUUUGACCAAUUUUACACUUCUAUGUAUUUUUAGGGGAACUAGCUAUCACCAGCGCGAAUAACAUGUUAUCUCUAUCUUUUCCUCUUACUAAAAUUUUGUCACAUUUUUAGGUAGAGUCUAUAACCCCGGGAAUAGAUAGCUCGCUGGUUUUCGAGAAUUUAAAUACUUAGUCUUUUCUAGCUAGGCCGUGAUGCAAAAAGUACGCCUGAAUUAGCUGAUUUUUCUGUAAAAAUAGGUUCCCUUACGGUACUUGUAAAAAUUUAUUAACAGUUUCUUUCUCCGUUACUUUGUUUUUUAAUGUUUUAAAAGUUAAUGGGAAAAAAGGAGUCUAUUUUGAUUAAUUA
Molecule: ribosomal RNA, 1365 nt
Filed under: Maoricolpus roseus
Lineage: Eukaryota; Metazoa; Mollusca; Gastropoda; Turritellidae
Description: 16S ribosomal RNA
Source: RNAcentral